GAUUUAGACACCAGUUCUCAAGAAGGAGGAAGUGAGGGACCUUCUCAAGGUCCACAAGCUGAGCCACACACAGACCCACAAGCAGAGCUUGUUGUACAUAGGACUGAAGGUGAUAUUGGUUCUCAAAGGAAAUCCUCUCGAAAUACCUAUAAGAAGCGACGACCAGUCAUCUUGAGAGAUGAGGAGCAGUCUUCAGGAGAUGAACAUGUUACAGUUCCACAAACAGAGCUUGUUGAACAUAGGACUGAAGGUGAUAUUGAUAUUCAAAGGAAAUCCUCACGACAUACUAGUAAGAAGCGACCAAUCAUCUUAAGUGACGAGGAGCAAUCUU
Molecule: long non-coding RNA, 331 nt
Organism: Mizuhopecten yessoensis (Yesso scallop)
Lineage: Eukaryota; Metazoa; Mollusca; Bivalvia; Pectinida; Pectinidae
Exons: 5
Source: RefSeq, a predicted model, not a curated record